GGGCGCAUAGCUCAGUGGGAGAGCACCUGCCUUACAAGCAGGGGGUCGCAGGUUCGAACCCUGCUGCGCCCA
This 72-nucleotide transfer RNA is filed under the name Saccharomonospora viridis DSM 43017. It matches the Rfam family "tRNA". Rfam says of the family: Transfer RNA (tRNA) molecules are approximately 80 nucleotides in length. Their secondary structure includes four short double-helical elements and three loops (D, anti-codon, and T loops). Lineage: Bacteria; Bacillati; Actinomycetota; Actinomycetes; Pseudonocardiales; Pseudonocardiaceae. RNAcentral also lists the same sequence under 1 other name. The record is from Rfam by way of RNAcentral.